RNAcentral lists this transfer RNA (72 nucleotides) under Oryza punctata. It matches the Rfam family "tRNA". From Rfam's summary of the family: Transfer RNA (tRNA) molecules are approximately 80 nucleotides in length. Lineage: Eukaryota; Viridiplantae; Streptophyta; Magnoliopsida; Poales; Poaceae. The record is from Rfam by way of RNAcentral.
GGUUCCAUAGCUCAGUGGUAGAGCAUUUGACUGCAGAUCAAAAGGUCUCCGGAUCGAACUCGGAUGGGCCUU